Molecule: long non-coding RNA, 257 nt
Filed under: Gossypium raimondii (Peruvian cotton)
Lineage: Eukaryota; Viridiplantae; Streptophyta; Magnoliopsida; Malvales; Malvaceae
Description: long non-coding RNA (GRAI_LNC000543)
Source: RNAcentral
UUCAUCAUUUUUAGUUUCAAACCCUAAAAUUAGCCACUAGAAAAGAAGAACAUUUGGUCAAGCUUAGUUUGAUUGCAUGGUGAGUUUUCAAGCCCCGUUUUUAACAUUUUUAUGUUUUUGAUUUCGUUUGAGCUUAAUCUAGGUACCCCGGGGGUUCAUUUGCAAAACUAUUAAAGGAUGAGGGACUUACCAUGAAUCCUUGAAUGAUAUUUUAUGUUAAUUGAUAGAUUAUGAAUCUUUGUUGAAAAAUAAACAAG